This 551-nucleotide ribosomal RNA is filed under the name uncultured bacterium. Its description in RNAcentral is "bacterial SSU rRNA". It matches the Rfam family "Bacterial small subunit ribosomal RNA", at positions 355 to 896 of the family's 1533-position model. The record is from RNAcentral.
UGGGGAAUUGUUCGCAAUGGGCGCAAGCCUGACGACGCAACGCCGCGUGGAGGAUGAAGAUUUUCGGAUCGUAAACUCCUGUCGAAUGGGACGAAUGGCUCGGCCGUGAAUAACGGCCGGGAAUGACGGUACCGUGAGAGGAAGCCCCGGCUAACUCCGUGCCAGCAGCCGCGGUAAUACGGGGGGGGCAAGCGUUGUUCGGAAUUACUGGGCGUAAAGGGCUCGUAGGUGGCCACCUAAGUCUGACGUGAAAUCCCUCGGCUUAACCGGGGAACUGCGUCGGAUACUGGGUGGCUUGAAUCCGGGAGAGGGACGUGGAAUUCCAGGUGUAGCGGUGAAAUGCGUAGAUAUCUGGAGGAACACCGGUGGCGAAGGCGGCGUCCUGGACCGGUAUUGACACUGAGGAGCGAAAGCCAGGGGAGCAAACGGGAUUAGAUACCCCGGUAGUCCUGGCCCUAAACGAUGAGUGCUUGGUGUGGCGGGUAUCGAUCCCCGCCGUGCCGUAGCUAACGCGUUAAGCACUCCGCCUGGGGAGUACGGUCGCAAGGCUG